CAUUUCUUUUUGUUUAUAAUAUAAAGUUUGGCCUGCUCAAUGAAGAUUUUAAAUAGCUGCGGUAUUUUGACCGUACAAAGGUAGCAUAAUCAUUAGUUUUUUAAUUGAAAGCUAGAAUGAAUGGUUUAACGAGAAAAUAGCUGUCUAUUUUAAUUAUUAGAAUUUAAUUUUUAAGUUAAAAAGCUUAAAUAAAUUUAAAAGACGAGAAGACCCUAUAGAUCUUUAUAAAAUUUAUAAUAUUAAAUUUUUAGGUUAUUAAAUUUUUUAUUAUAAAUUUUAUUUUAUUGGGGUGAUAUAAAGAUUAAAUAAACUCUUUAGAUUUAAAUUAAUUAUUUUUAUUUUUUGAUCCAUUUUAAUGAUUAUAAGAUUAAGUUACCUUAGGGAUAACAGCGUAAUUUUUUUGUAGAGUUCAUAUCGAUAAAAAAGAUUGCGACCUCGAUGUUGGAUUAAGAAAUGAUUUGGGGGCAAAAGUUCAAAUUCAAGGUCUGUUCGACCUUUAAAUUCUUACAUGAUCUGAGU
Molecule: ribosomal RNA, 519 nt
Filed under: Contacyphon hilaris
Lineage: Eukaryota; Metazoa; Arthropoda; Insecta; Coleoptera; Scirtidae
Description: partial 16S ribosomal RNA
Rfam family: Bacterial large subunit ribosomal RNA (bases 383-519)
Source: RNAcentral